CAUGUGGACUGCAGUUGACUGUGGAUAACUGAAACCAUGGAAAGUAAAACCGUGGAUAAGGGGAACCGCUGUAGAGUAAAUAAUUCUGAGCAAAUGGCAUCAUUCUGCAGAUUAUCAGCUACUUCUCAGAAGAGUUCACAAAAGAGAAGAGUACUUUUUUCUGUCCUUCAGUUCUAGAUUUGAUUGCAGGAGUGGAAUUUAUCCAAAAGCAAAACGACAUGGUUGUUAAAUCUUACACUAUUAGACUUAAGUAAAUCCAUAAUACAGAUUGUUAAAAAAUGUGGUUACUGGCUAUGUUGACCAAGCCCUUGUCACAAAACUAUACUGAGAAAGUGAACCGUGCGGUUCUUAUAUUUUAAAAUUGUAUGGGCCAUUUUAAUGCCUCCUUCAAAACUUGAACAGAAUGUCAACUCGUCCAUUUUAUCUUGCAGUUACAAAAUCAAAUAAUGAAGCAGAUGGACAAUAACGCUUUAUUUUAAAAGAUCACCGUGUUAACCUUCAUAGGGGCUAUACCAUUUUGCAUUGUCUUUGGCAACAUGCAAAAGGGCCGGUUUCCCCACAGCCUAAACACCAGAAUAUAUCAAACUUUUGGAGUUUUGCCCAUCUAACAGUUGCAGAACUGAGGCUCUCAGCUCUUAGAGGACACCACUGGUUCUCUCCAUGGGCAGUUCACAUCAUAGCAGCUUACUUCUUCAAGACCAGCAGAAGAAGAAUGUCUCUUUUUUUUCAGUCUGCUAAGACAGGACCGUAAAAGAAGCUUAUGUGAAGAGGAACCAAAAGCAGCCUUCAACAAAUGGCCAGCAAGGAUGAAGAUUUUAGUGGUGCCAAUACUCAUGUGAGUCAACUUGGAGACCAGUCUUUCCCCAGAUGAUCCUAGGAUGACUGGAAAACAGACAAUUCCUUUAUGGUAGCCUGUGAGACAUCCUGAAACAGGGGACGUCAAUAAAAAAUGCCAAGAUUCCUGACUAAGAGGAAUUAUGAAAUAAUAAUUGCUGUCUUAACCCAGUAAAUUUUGGAGUAAUUUGUUAUAAAACAAUA
Felis catus (domestic cat) is the source of this 1038-nucleotide long non-coding RNA. RefSeq lists it as uncharacterized. The transcript has 4 exons. Lineage: Eukaryota; Metazoa; Chordata; Mammalia; Carnivora; Felidae. The record is from RefSeq and is a predicted model, not a curated record.